Molecule: ribosomal RNA, 253 nt
Filed under: uncultured bacterium
Lineage: Bacteria
Description: partial 16S ribosomal RNA
Rfam family: Bacterial small subunit ribosomal RNA
Source: RNAcentral
UACGGAGGAUGCAAGCGUUAUCCGGAAUCACUGGGCGUAAAGCGUCUGCAGGUGGUUUCCUAAGUCCACUGUUAAACCUUGAGGCUCAACCUCAAAUCUGCAUUGGAAACUAGGAGACUUGAGUAUAGUAGGGGUAGAGGGAAUUUCCAGUGGAGCGGUGAAAUGCGUAGAUAUUGGAAAGAACACCGAUGGCGAAGGCACUCUACUGGGCUAUUACUGACACUCAGAGACGAAAGCUAGGGGAGCAAAUGGG